RNAcentral lists this non-coding RNA (87 nucleotides) under Clostridiales bacterium. RNAcentral describes it as "c-di-GMP sequence". It matches the Rfam family "c-di-GMP-I riboswitch aptamer". Rfam says of the family: GEMM was predicted in a large-scale screen for bacterial structured RNA regulatory elements. Genes associated with GEMM are involved in a diverse array of functions, including chemotaxis regulation, signal transduction, secretion and chitin. The record is from RNAcentral. Lineage: Bacteria; Bacillati; Bacillota; Clostridia; Eubacteriales.
AAUUGAUAAAGGCAAAUUCAUAGAAAUGUGAAUACGCAAAGCCGCAAGUCUAAAGCAUGAGAAUGCUAUGAUGGUUGGGUUGCCAGU